UACGGGGGGAGCAAGCGUUGUUCGGAUUUACUGGGCGUAAAGGGCUCGUAGGCGGCCAACUAAGUCAUACGUGAAAUCCCUCAGCUUAACUGGGGAACUGCGUGUGAUACUGGAUGGCUUGGAUUUGGGAGAGGGAUGCGGAAUUCCAGGUGUAGCGGUGAAAUGCGUAGAUAUCUGGAGGAACACCGGUGGCGAAGGCGGCAUCCUGGACCAAUAUUGACGCUGAGGAGCGAAAGCCAGGGGAGCAAACGGG
This 253-nucleotide ribosomal RNA is filed under the name uncultured bacterium. RNAcentral's name for it is "partial 16S ribosomal RNA". It matches the Rfam family "Bacterial small subunit ribosomal RNA", at positions 524 to 776 of the family's 1533-position model. The record is from RNAcentral.